CUUAAAUAUCAGUGGCAAGGGAGUAAACCAGGUUUCUUGGGAGAUGUCUGGAAUUCAUUGUUGGAGAGCUAAAUAUAGCUAUCCUUUAAGUGGACUUUGUGAUGCAUGUUCUUCUUUGCUGCUACUGACUCUUGAUGCCUGAGCUUGGAGGACUGAUGAGUGAUGUCUCCAAGUGUGAUGGGGAUCCUGGCUCCCAAAACAUUCAGACCUUGUCAGCAGAUGACCUGGAACCCCUGCCUUUCUGCUGCUCUCUCACUGGAAGUGACACCAAAGCGAUUCAAACCCUCAAACAUUGUGGAUGUCUAGAGAAAGACCUAUGGCUGUGUGUAAAAAGCGUAAGCCUCUUUUUGUGCUGCUAAAAAUCUAAAAAUCUUGGGAUGAUUCUAGAACAGUGGGGGCUACUCUGAUACAGAGAAGAAGCAAAUCAAAUCCUAUCUUUUUUUUUUUUUUUUUCUUUUUUUUCAGUAUGGGCAACAGAAAUACACAUUCUGUCCCCCUGGCUUUGAGGAAUGGGAUGGAGAGAAUUGGUCUUUGUUUUGAAAGCUUUGGAAAUCAGAGACUUUCAAAGCAUUUACAGGCAAAUGCCUAUAAUUUAAGAAGAUUGUAGGAGAGUUUUAGUUACUGUAACUGUUCAAUUACCUAUAGAAAAUGGAAUUUACCAAAAAACUUUGAAGAAGCUAAAAGUGGUGCCACUUUGUUGGUCUCAGAGUGAUUGUAUUUUAAGCUUCAGGGGGACAUUUUGACUAGCUCCGUAUUUUUAAAAAGUCCUUAGGGAUCCUCUGAAUUUUUUAUUUUUUUUUAACUAAAAUCCUAUGAUAUGCUGCAUAUUAGUUUUUAUCUGCAUAUAUAUUUCUGUCAAACAAAGUUCUGAUAAUCACUGUAAUAAGGGCAAUGUUUGUUUUGCUAUAUUAAUUUUCUUGAUAUAAAACAUCUCACAGGAAAAGCGCCUGUUUUGUAGAAAGCAUUUUCUUCUGAAAAAAAAAAAACACCAAAAAACAACAAAACACACCCACAUGCACAGUUUGUUUAAAAGUGUUUAACUUAUUGCAGAGUAGGUCAGGAAAGAGAAAAUGAAAUAAAAAAAAAUGGGCAGCUGGGAAUAAAGGCA
RNAcentral lists this long non-coding RNA (1108 nucleotides) under Coturnix japonica (Japanese quail). Its description in RNAcentral is "lncRNA (ENSCJPG00005018899.1)". The record is from RNAcentral. Lineage: Eukaryota; Metazoa; Chordata; Aves; Galliformes; Phasianidae.